GGGCGGGCUGGGAUCACAAAGAAGAUCACAUUUUUUAGGCAUUUGCAAAUAAAAGUCUAAUUUUUGUAAUAAGCUGUAAAAAUUGUAACCACUUUGGAGGGGGGGGACACUAUGUGGCUGUUUUUUACGUUGUAGAAACUUCUUUUAAAUCAGCGUUUUUGAGACAAACGUGAGUCAUCUAUCUGUGUACUUAUAAGAGGAAGCACAGUAAAUACCCUCCCCUCCCCCCCCAACCAGGCUUUGGCAGCCCUUCAGACGUGGCUGUAAAGCACCAUAGGAACACAGGAUGUCUUCAGCCUAGCACCGUUAGUCCAUGCGACCCAUUGAGUUGCUUUCAUCUCUCUGCGUGCAUUCUUUUUGUUUCAUUUGCAGCCAGGGAGGUGCUCGUUGCCUGUUUUCAGAUGCACAGGUACCGUUUUGAACCAGGAGAUGUAGCUGCUGCCCACUGUGCUUCAUCCCACCUGGGUGCUGCAGGACGUCUCUGGAAGAAGCUGGAGGUUUGGGGCCCAGGAGAUGCCUUCUUGGGAGAUGAAGCAGGAGGAUGGUGAGAGUGGCUCACCCUGCUGUGGCAGCAAACUCUCCAGGUGCCCCUGCUCUAGGCAAGAGGCCAGGAAGGGGGAGGGAAUUGUUGCUGUCAUACAUCCCUUCAAACACAAAAAGAAGGAAAAAAAAACGAAGGAAAAAAGAUAAUAGUUCUGAUUUGUGAUCUGAGCUUAAUUAAGGUGAUCCAGAUGGGCCAUGUGGCUCAACUCUCAUUGCCGUUGAUUUCAGAGGGUUUGGAGUGGGGCUUCUCAAGGCUCCUCCAGCCCAGUUUAACUUGUCAAUGCUCUUUACUAUAAACCUGGUGCCAACAAGCUAAAUAUUUGUGGCACCAAGUGCCCAAAUAUUUUCCCUGCUCAUUUUAUAGCCAAGUCUUACAAAUGACCUCCCUUCUUCCUCCUGUGCCCCAGAUUUCAUGUAUUUUACAUGGGAGAGUAAUAGUUUUGCACAGAAGGAUUAUUUUAAAUGCAGUCUCCUUAUAGUGAAAUGCUGCUGGCUCAGAAAUUUAAUUGUUAAAGGACGAUUUUAUUUCAGCUUAGUGUGGAAAAGAAAAAAGGCAACUAAACAAAAGAAUGGGAAAGGCAUGCAGCAGAUCAUGCAAGCACGGCAGCCUCAGGAGGAAUGGCCUCCUUUCCUCUUCCCAAAAGCACAUCUCCAGAAACUAUUCCUCUUGACAGAAGUAAGUAGCACCUUAAAUUUCUCCUGGGGGGUUUAAGGAAUGCCCUAUGCAACUUAAUGUAGCACAGAGACUGAGUCCAUCAGCAGCCACAUUCCCUUUCUUUCCUAGGGUGCUCUCAGCACAGUUUCCUGUGCAUGAGCAGGGACCUGCAGUGCAAUAAGGAAUGGAGGAGUGCAGGAAUGUGUGAAGUCAGAGGGACAGGUUUCCCCUGGGGUUUUACCCAAUUCUUGGCUUUCACCGUUCUCCUGGCAAGGUCCAGAGCUCUGCAGAAGGACCACACUGGUGACCCUCGAGGGCGUAAGCAGCAAGCAAGGUCAGAACAAUGAGCUUCCUGUGUUUCAGGGAUGUCCCUGUGGAAUUCCAGCUUUUCUUGUAGGUUUGAUUCUGUGAGUUUUUUACGCCCCCUCCCCCGGCCCUCGUGUUUUCUGUCUACCUCAGAUACUCUCUGUAUCCAGCUUAACAUUUCAGCAGCAGCCUAGAACACGCACGCCCCGCUCAGCUCACUGAUGGUGUGCACACUCCCUGAGUCCCAUGGGGCACAGCUGGCAUGUUUCAGGGCCCAUUUGCUAACUGCUGCAUUAAUUUGUCAUUCUCCAUGGUCCAAAAUUCAGUUCCUCCUCACUGGGUAUAUGUCCUUCAGAUGCCUUCUGCCCACUAAAUGUCAAGUCUGUCUCCAAACCUUGUGUCUGGGCUUUUCAUCACCACCCUUAGUGCAGUAACUGGUUAUUGUACUUUCUGCUUGAUGUUUCUUCUCUUUUUUAAAGAAAAAAAAAAUCAGGAAAAUAAUACUCUGAUUAAAGCUGUUAUUAUUCCAGUGAUCCUGAGUAGACAUCAUCUGCUGUUGUCUGUUCGUCUCAAAGCAGCUUGGGUGCGUGGGAUUACUUUAAUGGGUUUUCACCGCGCGCGUGACGCGUUCCUCACAGUACAUUUCCACACCUAGAGCCGGCAGUCCUCUGAGACUGAUCUCAAUCUGAUCCUCCUUCCCUGGGCCUUUCCAUCCCUGCCCUCUGUUGGGGGGAACGUCACUGGAAAGCCGUCACUCCCAAGCUGCUGCGUGUGAUUGAGCACUAGGCAAAUCAAGAGAAUGAACUGCUUCAGCACAGGUCACCUUGCAGAGAUGCCUUGGCACCAUUUUCUCCUCUACUUCAGCCAUCAGAACUGAAUGAUCAUCUUGUAUCUGCUCAGCUCAGCAUUAAGUGACUGAAGAAAGGGCUGUCCCUUGCAUCCACCCUCCUCUGAUGGAGGAGACCUGUGGAGACCUGAUGGUUUGCUUUGUGGAAAUCUGUGGCAGAAGACAGCCUCAGUGAGGAUCUUGGACUUACUUAACUUUUGCCAAGUUGGACUUGGACUCCUGCUCUGGGUGCUUGGCUUCACCAGCAUCCCAGUCACAUCUGUCUCAGCUGUCCCAUUCCAGGUUUGAGUUUCCUUGUCUGCUGGAUCCUUGCAACCAUUUCAUCUUAAUAACCCAAGACAUCUUAAUCAGGCCUGAUCCCUUAUCAAAAAUGGACUUGGACUGUAAAGUAAGAGAGAUGAUGAUCAUGCCUGGAAAUGACCUUCUCAAGCCUCCUGUCAAAAGCCUUUUUGAUACCAGGCUUUUCAUGAGGCAUCCCAUGGGGCUUACCUCUUCACAAUUUAGUAAGCCUAAACCAUUGGUGAAAUUCAGGGGUUUCCAAACAACGAAUGACAAACUUGUGCUCUUUUAUUAUAAUGGGAGGGAAAAAGGUAGAAUAUAAAGUCAAAUUCCCCAAGGCUGUGCAUAGGGGAGCCUGGCCCAAAACCAGGAGAGUAUCACUUGUUGAUCAGACAGUUCUGCAAGGGAUGACUGCUUGAUUUGGAGUGGAAGGACCCUACACGAAAAGGAAGGAGCCUCUGGCUGGGAAGAGGAAGGUGGUGUUUUUGUUACUAUGUAACAGACUCACUUGACGUCAGGAGUAUUGCUGGUUGUGGUUUCCCCUUCCUUCCCUUGCCCAUCACCAAAUCUGUCCCACAGCAUCCCUCAUGACACUUAAAUCAUCUCAAAUCCACUUCUCCAAGUAGCCAAGACCAACCAUUUGUGGCCAAAACUCAGGGGACAGCCCCCCCCAGUCUCUUCAGCAGCCUCCAGAAGAUAACAAACCUUGGGUUCCUGCCCUGCUUUGAUUACUCCCCACUGAACGUUAAUUAAAGCUUCCAGCAGAUGCUUUGUGAAGCCUCGUUCAGCACUGAGCCACUGGGAUGCAGUUGGGUGCUUUCCUGGGAGAAAGAGACGAGCUGAAGAGAGAAGCUUGGUAACCAGUGCAGCUUGCUUGGAUCGGCCCUAGCAAAGAGGGAGACCAUGGCCCCCCACCAAGGUAAUGUAGGCUGGUAGCAUUUCAGGGAAGAACUCUGCUCCAUUUGUUGAGGCAGGGUUUUGAAGAGCGAUCGGGUGGCAAGGUAAGCCACCCCAUGUCUGGCUGGGAGAGACUUAGGAUUUGCUGCUGCCUGAGCAGCCCGUGCUGAUGGCUUGCUUUUAUCACUCUAAGCAAUCACAUCUGAUCUAUGAAACCUUUCACCCCUCCUUAAUAGAAAGGGAAUUGAUGCUGAGAGCACUUGAUAGUACCUGUCAAAGCAGAAUCACAGGGCAGCAGUGUUUUACAUGAUGCUUAGCAGCGCCUGCCCACCGUAGGCAGGACAGGAGUUUGCUCUAGGAAGGAUGAGUUAGGAGAUGGCAUCAUCUCUCCUGGUAAUACUGGCAUCCUCGGACAGCAAGGAAAUGUUUACAGGUGGAGAUUUCAUCAUCUUGUUUUUUAUCUAAGCCUGGUUCAGUCCCAGUAGCCUGUGAUACCAACACCAGCA
Molecule: long non-coding RNA, 4033 nt
Organism: Pogoniulus pusillus (Red-fronted tinkerbird)
Lineage: Eukaryota; Metazoa; Chordata; Aves; Piciformes; Lybiidae
Exons: 3
Source: RefSeq, a predicted model, not a curated record